This 183-nucleotide unclassified non-coding RNA is filed under the name Paraglomus occultum. RNAcentral describes it as "partial contains 5.8S ribosomal RNA and internal transcribed spacer 2". The stretch from base 1 to 65 matches the Rfam family "5.8S ribosomal RNA", at positions 84 to 154 of the family's 154-position model. Lineage: Eukaryota; Fungi; Glomeromycota; Glomeromycetes; Paraglomerales; Paraglomeraceae. The record is from RNAcentral.
GUGAAUCAUCAAAUUUUUGAACGCAAAUUGCGCCUUUUUCGGAAGGCAUGUCUGUUUGAGGGCACCAUUUAACAAAUAAUGUGCAGCGUUUUUGGUGGCCCACGUUAUUGGCCUUUCAAAGAUUUUAAAUUUUUUGAGGGCGAUUAUUAACCGGCGUAAAGGUUUUUUUACGUUGGAGUGAAG